RNAcentral lists this ribosomal RNA (253 nucleotides) under uncultured bacterium. RNAcentral describes it as "partial 16S ribosomal RNA". It matches the Rfam family "Bacterial small subunit ribosomal RNA", at positions 524 to 776 of the family's 1533-position model. The record is from RNAcentral.
GACAGAGGGUGCAAACGUCAUUCGGAAUUACUGGGCUUAAAGGGUUUGUAGGCGGCCUUGUAAGUCAGGUGUGAAAGCCCUCGGCUCAACCGAGGAACAGCGCUUGAUACUGCAAGGCUUGAGGGAGACAGGGGUAAGCGGAACUGAUGGUGGAGCGGUGAAAUGCGUUGAUAUCAUCAGGAACACCGGUGGCGAAAGCGGCUUACUGGGUCUCUUCUGACGCUGAGGAACGAAAGCUAGGGUAGCGAACGGG